Molecule: ribosomal RNA, 685 nt
Filed under: uncultured bacterium
Lineage: Bacteria
Description: bacterial SSU rRNA
Rfam family: Bacterial small subunit ribosomal RNA
Source: RNAcentral
GAGUUUGAUCCUGGCUCAGGAUAAACGCUGGCGGCGCACAUAAGACAUGCAAGUCGAACGGACUUAACCCAUUCUUUUAGAUUGGAAGCGGUUAGUGGCGGACUGGUGAGUAACGCGUGAGCAACCUGCCUAUUAGAGGGGAAUAACAGUGAGAAAUCACUGCUAAUACCGCAUAAGCUGAUAGUAUCGCAUGAUACAGUCAGAAAAGGAGCAAUCCGCUAAUAGAUGGGCUCGCGUCUGAUUAGCUAGUUGGUGGGGUAACGGCCUACCAAGGCAACGAUCAGUAGCCGGACUGAGAGGUUGAACGGCCACAUUGGGACUGAGAUACGGCCCAGACUCCUACGGGAGGCAGCAGUCGGGAAUAUUGCGCAAUGGAGGAAACUCUGACGCGGUGACGCCGCGUAUGGGAAGAAGGUUUUCGGAUUGUAAACCAUUGUCGUUAGGGAAGAAGAAGUGACAGUACCUAAGGAGGAAGCUCCGGCUAACUAUGUGCCAGCAGCCGCGGUAAUACAUAGGGAGCGAGCGUUAUCUGGAUUUAUUGGGUGUAAAGGGUGCGUAGACGGGAAUACAAGUUGGUUGUGAAAUCCCUCGGCUCAACCGAGGAACUGCAACCAAAACUAUAUUUCUUGAGUGCUGGAGAGGAAAGUGGAAUUCCUAGUGUAGCGGUGAAAUGCGUAGAUAUUAG